This is a small nucleolar RNA of Theobroma cacao (cacao), 107 nucleotides long. It matches the Rfam family "Plant small nucleolar RNA R71". Rfam says of the family: R71 is a member of the C/D box family of snoRNAs containing the C (UGAUGA) and D (CUGA) box motifs. Multiple nearly identical copies of this snoRNA have been identified in Arabidopsis, and it is thought to function as a 2'-O-ribose methylation guide for 18S ribosomal RNA. NCBI's taxonomy places the organism in Eukaryota, Viridiplantae, Streptophyta, Magnoliopsida, Malvales, Malvaceae. The record is from Rfam.
AACUCAUGGUGAGGAAAUCUUUUAAGUAAAUCUUUAUACCUCUCCCAAGCCUCAUAUAGUGAUUCCAAAUCAAAUUGCAUAAAUGAGGUGAUAUCAUUCCUCAUCUU